Molecule: ribosomal RNA, 250 nt
Filed under: uncultured bacterium
Lineage: Bacteria
Description: partial 16S ribosomal RNA
Rfam family: Bacterial small subunit ribosomal RNA
Source: RNAcentral
UGGGGAAUUUUGGACAAUGGGGGCAACCCUGAUCCAGCCAUGCCGCGUGAGUGAAGAAGGCCUUCGGGUUGUAAAGCUCUUUCGGACGGGACGAAACGGUUGCGGUGAAUAACCGCGACUAAUGACGGUACCGUAAUAAGAAGCACCGGCUAACUACGUGCCAGCAGCCGCGGUAAUACGUAGGGUGCGAGCGUUAAUCGGAAUUACUGGGCGUAAAGCGUGCGCAGGCGGUUCGCCAAGUCAGGUGUGA